This 2009-nucleotide long non-coding RNA is filed under the name Sus scrofa (pig). RNAcentral describes it as "lncRNA (ENSSSCG00015000110.1)". The record is from RNAcentral. Lineage: Eukaryota; Metazoa; Chordata; Mammalia; Artiodactyla; Suidae.
CUAUAGCAUUUAGAUACCUUUCCAGCAACAUCUGGAAAACUUCUGAGGGAUUCCCCCUUCCCAGAAACCCUUGCUGCGAAAACUUCCUUAACUGAGUUUGGGAAGUGGGCUCCAUCCUCCUGCUUAACGCUUCAGCAAGUUAAGCAAGAUGGCCACACGAGGGAUGUUUUAUACCACUGACCACAUGCCAAAGGCGUUCCCAGAAACGCGCAGAUUUAAGCAUUGCACAGACGGCCGAGAGUGAUCUAGCACCUCCAACCUGAGCUGUGUAUUAUGUGGGGCACUAAGAGGUCACACUGCAUUCUCUCCUGUAGAUGAAGAUUUGUUGGUGCUACUAACUGGAGGACACUGUGGCAAUUUCCCACAUAAAUCACACCGCUGAAGCUAAGAACAUCAUUCUGGAUUGAGAUUAAUAUUUUCUCUUUUGGGCUGCGCCUGUGGCAUGCACAAGUUCCCGGGCCAGAAAUCGAACCCACACCACAGCAGUGACACCGGAUCCUUAACUCACUGUGCCACCAGGGGACAAGAUGAAUUUCAAAUGCUAUUCCAGGAGCUCCCUGGUGGCUCAGUGGGUUAAGGAUCUAGCAUUGUCACUGCUGUGUCUCUGGUUACAGCCAUGGCAUGGGUUUGAUCCCUGGCCCAAAAACUUCUGCAGGCCUUGGGUAUGGCCAAAUAAAUAAAUAAAUAAGAAUUAAAAAGUGCCAUUCCGGGUUCUAGGGUUUCAUGCAGUGCUCUUUCCACAGGCUUAUAAUUCUGACUAUUGGGGGGGUCCCCAUGGCUUCAGCUUUCUUCAUUUUCAUAAAUUAUGUGCACACACACUCAGACACAUACACACACAAUUAUUUCUACUGGCUGCCCUGAAAUAAGUCACAGUGUGAACACCCCUGGGCACCCGGGCAGGGAGAAGUGUGUAAGUGCACACAGAGCUUACUGCUCCCCAACCUCCACCCCGGAGCCUCCCCGGUGCUCCAGCCUCCGGUGGCUUCCCAGUGCCUCGGGUCCAUCACCUCCAUUUAUUUUUCCUCCUUUUCAUCUCUUCCUUCUGAGUCUACCCCCCCGCCCCACCAAUGACAGCUCAGGUCACUGAGGCAUACCAGUCACUCUGCCUAAAGCCAACUGACAUGGGAAUAACCAACACAUUCAGAGCCCCCAGGGGCAGCCCUUCUGCUACCAAAGAUGACUUUGCCACACUCAAAGGAACACCACGUCCUCGCCUCUUUCUCAUCCCUCUUCCAAUUGACAGUGAGCGUAGGGGGUAGGUUCUUUGCACAACCUGCUUUCUGGUGCCACCUGACUGCCCAGACCACUGCUUUGCCCACGAGCACCAGCCACACUGGAAACACUGCUGGAGUCGUAACGAAAGGCCAAUUGCAGGCACUUGGAUCAAGGCCCAGCCUAUCAGGAACCUACACCUGGUUGGAGGAUGUGGCCUGUGACAGGAGUCACUUUCCAGUGUGGUCAAUGCCGGGAUGCAGGUACAAGCAGAAGGCCACGAGGGACUGCAAGGAGCAAGGUCCCCCCAGUGAAAGCAAAUCCUUCAACGUGAGAUAGAAAGUCACAAGGGGCAGUUCCUAUUGUGGCUCAGUGGUAAGAACCCCAGCUAGUAUCCAUGAGGUUGCAGGUUCAAUCCCCGGCCUCGCUCAGUGGGUUAAGAAUCUGGCAUUGCUGUGAGUUGUGGUGUAGGGUGCAAAUGUGGCUCAGAUUCUGCGUUGCUGUGGCUGUUUGGUAUAAGCCAGCAGCUGCAGCUCCAAUUCAAACCCUAGCCUGGGAAUAUUCAUACGCUGCAUGUGUGGCCCNAUACCACUGACCAAAAAUCUUGACUAUCUCUUUGAGUUUCCUCGGUUCAAUGACUGUUCCAUCACCACAUUGAGGCCCCUGGGGCUGCUACAUGGUGGAGGGUACACUCUUCUCAUCACUGAAAAACUAAGGCAGGAGCAAAAGGGGGCACAUCUGGAUCUUCAGCUAAAGAAUGAGGAGAAAAGCAAUGCUUACCCAUGAAGAGAUGAUCA